Drosophila erecta is the source of this 955-nucleotide long non-coding RNA. RefSeq lists it as uncharacterized. The transcript is spliced from 4 exons. Lineage: Eukaryota; Metazoa; Arthropoda; Insecta; Diptera; Drosophilidae. The record is from RefSeq and is a predicted model, not a curated record.
UACAUGUAAGUAUGUUAUUCAUAGUUGCUGCAGAUGGUAUAUGUGGCAUAUGCGGUCUGAAUCGGAAUGUCUGGCUCUAUGAGUUAACUUCAUUAUUCUUAUCAACGGGAAAAUGUCGGAGAUACUUACGUAUGUACAUAUACAAACAUACAUAUAUAUGUACAUACAUGUAGGUACGUAUGUGAAAGCAAGUACAUUAUGUACGCAAAGAGAAAGAUAACGAAUGCAGAGGAAGCAGCUGAAUAAGGGGAAUACGGCAGAGAUUGUGAAUUCUCGGAACCAAAUUCCCAUACAUUUAUUUCGAGCAAGACAUUCCAUGAAAGUAAAAAACAGGAGGAACUGCGACGUCGACGUCGGCAGAGCGAACAGCGCCCGACCUACGACCACAUUAAAAGAGAGAGAGAAAGAGAAAGCGGGAGAGCGCAUGGAAGAGCAAAGCCAAAAGAAUGGCAAAACAGAAAGAGCGAGGGAGACAGCCGGCAAAACGUCAGUGGGAAUGUUAGUAACAUGCGGAAGUGCACUGCAUGCUGUUAUUUUCGCUUUCUGUUUUCCCGCUGUUAUCGAUAUCAUAUUAUGUGCCGAUAUUUGAAAAGUAUUUCGCGGUCAACCGCAUAGUAAAUAUCACCAGAUAAUAGCAAAUUUGAUGUUACCAAACAUUAGAGUUGAAAACAUUCUACAUAUUCCUUAAUGAAAUAUUCUUCUGUCGCUGAAACGUUGGGCCUAUCAGCUGUUCUUUCAUUUGCACUUUCAUUCCAUUACACUGAAAAAUAAAGAGCAGAAUCGUGGCAGAAUGCAAACAGAGAAGCAGCAGUGCCCGAAAAAACCAAAUAGACCAAAAAGGGGAGCGCUAUGUGGGCGGAAAGUGGGUGGUGUGCAGGCAUUCCGUGAGUUUCUCAGCGGCAGCAAAGCCAAGAAAGAAGUGCAGAAAAAAAAGAAAACAUUGAGGGGCAAAAAC